AAAUUGAAGAGUUUGAUCAUGGCUCAGAUUGAACGCUGGCGGCAGGCCUAACACAUGCAAGUCGAGCGGUAGCACAGAGAGCUUGCUCUCGGGUGACGAGCGGCGGACGGGUGAGUAAUGUCUGGGAAACUGCCUGAUGGAGGGGAUAACUACUGGAAACGGUAGCUAAUACCGCAUAACGUCGCAAGACCAAAGUGGGGGACCUUCGGGCCUCAUGCCAUCAGAUGUGCCCAGAUGGGAUUAGCUAGUAGGUGGGGUAACGGCUCACCUAGGCGACGAUCCCUAGCUGGUCUGAGAGGAUGACCAGCCACACUGGAACUGAGACACGGUCCAGACUCCUACGGGAGGCAGCAGUGGGGAAUAUUGCACAAUGGGCGCAAGCCUGAUGCAGCCAUGCCGCGUGUGUGAAGAAGGCCUUCGGGUUGUAAAGCACUUUCAGCGGGGAGGAAGGCGGUGAGGUUAAUAACCUCACCGAUUGACGUUACCCGCAGAAGAAGCACCGGCUAACUCCGUGCCAGCAGCCGCGGUAAUACGGAGGGUGCAAGCGUUAAUCGGAAUUACUGGGCGUAAAGCGCACGCAGGCGGUCUGUCAAGUCGGAUGUGAAAUCCCCGGGCUCAACCUGGGAACUGCAUUCGAAACUGGCAGGCUAGAGUCUUGUAGAGGGGGUAGAAUUCCAGGUGUAGCGGUGAAAUGCGUAGAGAUCUGGAGGAAUACCGGUGGCGAAGGCGGCCCCUGGACAAAGACUGACGCUCAGGUGCGAAAGCGUGGGAGCAAACAGGAUUAGAUACCCUGGUAGUCCACGCCGUAAACGAUGUCGAUUUGGAGGUUGUGCCCUUGAGGCGUGGCUUCCGGAGCUAACGCGUUAAAUCGACCGCCUGGGGAGUACGGCCGCAAGGUUAAAACUCAAAUGAAUUGACGGGGCCCGCACAAGCGGUGGAGCAUGUGGUUUAAUUCGAUGCAACGCGAAGAACCUUACCUGGUCUUGACAUCCACAGAACUUUCCAGAGAUGGAUUGGUGCCUUCGGGAACUGUGAGACAGGUGCUGCAUGGCUGUCGUCAGCUCGUGUUGUGAAAUGUUGGGUUAAGUCCCGCAACGAGCGCAACCCUUAUCCUUUGUUGCCAGCGGUCCGGCCGGGAACUCAAAGGAGACUGCCAGUGAUAAACUGGAGGAAGGUGGGGAUGACGUCAAGUCAUCAUGGCCCUUACGACCAGGGCUACACACGUGCUACAAUGGCAUAUACAAAGAGAAGCGACCUCGCGAGAGCAAGCGGACCUCAUAAAGUAUGUCGUAGUCCGGAUUGGAGUCUGCAACUCGACUCCAUGAAGUCGGAAUCGCUAGUAAUCGUAGAUCAGAAUGCUACGGUGAAUACGUUCCCGGGCCUUGUACACACCGCCCGUCACACCAUGGGAGUGGGUUGCAAAAGAAGUAGGUAGCUUAACCUUCGGGAGGGCGCUUACCACUUUGUGAUUCAUGACUGGGGUGAAGUCGUAACAAGGUAACCGUAGGGGAACCUGCGGUUGGAUCACCUCCUUACCUUAAAGAA
RNAcentral lists this ribosomal RNA (1545 nucleotides) under Klebsiella pneumoniae. RNAcentral describes it as "bacterial SSU rRNA". It matches the Rfam family "Bacterial small subunit ribosomal RNA". The record is from RNAcentral. Lineage: Bacteria; Pseudomonadati; Pseudomonadota; Gammaproteobacteria; Enterobacterales; Enterobacteriaceae.